This 200-nucleotide long non-coding RNA is filed under the name Ricinus communis (castor bean). Its description in RNAcentral is "long non-coding RNA (RCOM_LNC002730)". Lineage: Eukaryota; Viridiplantae; Streptophyta; Magnoliopsida; Malpighiales; Euphorbiaceae. The record is from RNAcentral.
UCAAUUUCUAUUUCCUAGGUUCGUACCUCUACCUCGUCUCUAAAUAAUUUCAUGAUAGGGUUAGUAGCUAAUCUUUAAUUUUAUUAAGUUGCAUGGUGGAGUUACUUCAAAAGUAAUGUUUGGUAGAGAUGAGGUAGAAGUACUGACAUAGAAAUAGAAAUUGAGGCAGUGAACAAAUUAAAAAAAUUUAAAAAGUUAUA